This is a non-coding RNA of Marinovum algicola DG 898, 48 nucleotides long. Lineage: Bacteria; Pseudomonadati; Pseudomonadota; Alphaproteobacteria; Rhodobacterales; Roseobacteraceae. The record is from Rfam.
CGGGCGUCACAACGGCUUCCUGGCGUGACGCCGGCAAUCAAUGGAGCA